AGUGAACGCUGGCGGUAGGCCUAACACAUGCAAGUCGAACGGCAGCACAGUAAGAGCUUGCUCUUACGGGUGGCGAGUGGCGGACGGGUGAGGAAUACAUCGGAAUCUACUUUUUCGUGGGGGAUAACGUAGGGAAACUUACGCUAAUACCGCAUACGACCUACGGGUGAAAGCAGGGGAUCUUCGGACCUUGCGCGAUUGAAUGAGCCGAUGUCGGAUUAGCUAGUUGGCGGGGUAAAGGCCCACCAAGGCGACGAUCCGUAGCUGGUCUGAGAGGAUGCUACCCCAACCGGGAACUGAAACACGGCCCAGCCCCCUCGGGGGGGCAGCGGGGGGGAAUUUGGGAAAAGGGGCGAAAGCCUGAUCCAGCCAUACCGGGGGGGUGAAGAAGGCCUUCGGGUUGUAAAGCCUUUUUGUUGGGAAAAAAAAGCAGCAGGUUAAUACCCCGCUGUUCGGACGGUACCCAAAGAAUAAGCACCGGCUAACUUCGU
RNAcentral lists this ribosomal RNA (491 nucleotides) under uncultured bacterium. RNAcentral's name for it is "partial 16S ribosomal RNA". It matches the Rfam family "Bacterial small subunit ribosomal RNA", at positions 29 to 506 of the family's 1533-position model. The record is from RNAcentral.